UACGAAGGUGGCAAGCGUUACUCGGAAUUACUAGGCGUAAAGGGCAGGUAGGUGGUCUGAUAAGUCUGUUGUGUAAGCUCCCGGCUUAACUGGGAGAGGUCAACAGAUACUGUCAGGCUUGAGUAUAGGAGAGGUUACUGGAAUUCCCGGUGUAGCGGUGAAAUGCGCAGAUAUCGGGAGGAACACCAAUGGCGAAAGCAGGUAACUGGACUAUUACUGACACUCAGCUGCGAAAGCUAGGGGAGCAAAC
RNAcentral lists this ribosomal RNA (250 nucleotides) under uncultured bacterium. RNAcentral describes it as "partial 16S ribosomal RNA". It matches the Rfam family "Bacterial small subunit ribosomal RNA", at positions 524 to 773 of the family's 1533-position model. The record is from RNAcentral.